This 292-nucleotide ribosomal RNA is filed under the name uncultured bacterium. RNAcentral's name for it is "partial 16S ribosomal RNA". It matches the Rfam family "Bacterial small subunit ribosomal RNA", at positions 505 to 796 of the family's 1533-position model. The record is from RNAcentral.
GUGUCAGCAGCCGCGGUAAUACGGAGGGUGCAAGCGUUGCUCGGAUUCAUUGGGCGUAAAGCGCACGCAGGCGGUCCGAUAAGUCGGAUGUGAAAUCCCCGGGCUCAACCCGGGAACUGCAUUCGAAACUGUCGGUCUAGAGUACGGAAGAGGGAAGCGGAAUUCCUGGUGUAGAGGUGAAAUUCGUAGAUAUCAGGAGGAACACCGGUGGCGAAAGCGGCUUCCUGGUCCGUCACUGACGCUCAUGUGCGAAAGCGUGGGGAGCAAACAGGAUUAGAUACCCGUGUAGUCC